CCACAGUCUCUUGUCCCUCCUGUCCUCCUGGUCAUGUCCCUCAGGGUGGGAGCCGCAUCGAUCCUUCUCAGAGGCAGUUUCUGAGGGACUCUGGCUGGAAUCAUUUGCAGGCGGCCAGCUGGUGGGGACAAAGGGCUUUUCUUUGUCAGCUGUCAGGACAAAAUUCUUCACAAAGAGCCUGAGACCCACCACCUGCCUCAGCAUCAGCUGCAGAGCCCAAGCCGUGUCACUGGGCUGGGGAUCAGCAGCCAUAUCUGAAUGACAGCACCUAAUCAGAGUUCCAGGGAAGUUGGAAGAAACGCCAAGAGACCUGGAUCAUGGUUGGCCACUUCUAUAUAUUUAAGAGGAUCUAACACUGUGUAGUCCAGGCUGACCUCAAACUCACUAUGUAACCCAGCCUUACUUUGAAUUUGUGGCAGUUCUUCUGUCUCUGAGUACUGGAAUUAUAGGCACACACCACUCUGCAUCUAUCCUUGGCUUCUGGUAUUAAUAGAAGAUAGAGCUGACUGUGUACACUGUCCUUGCUCUGUGCUAAUAUGAAGCAGAGGUGUCACAUCAAGAUGGCUGUAGACCCAGGUCCAGCUGCAGUUUUCCCAUGUGGGACCUGUUGGCCUCACUGCUCUCCCCAGAUCCCUCGGGGUCCACCAUGCUAAGCCUUACACAGGCUUGCUUUCUGCCCCACAGGCAGUGCUCAGCCACAGGCUGAUUUGUUCAUCCAAGCCUACAAGUGUGCUUAGGAAUACCUGGCUAGUGCAGGAAUGGACUAACACAUACAUGAAGCGUGGAGCCAUGGUCUGACUCUUUGGGGGACAGAGGUAGAUGAGGACAAGCUAAUCGGGGGACUAGCCCUAGUGGUGAGCGUGGAAAGAGCAGAGGUCUACUGAGAAAGCCAAGCUUUCCCUUGGCUCCUGGAAAGUCUCCAGGCAGAAAGGGAACGGCUACCCAAAGAACAUUCUUCGCAUGAGGUCAGGGUGCCUACUCUAAAGCUCGAUAGCCUGUUUUAGGAUCCCACUACUGAAUGUGUGAUCGUGAGCAAGUUGCUUAAAUCUUCUUGCACCCACUUGGGAAGGCAUAGGUAAAAGAAUUAGCCUUUGAGGGUACUGUGGGAGUCUGGCAUACCAACACACCCUCAGUGUUUGGGCCAGCAUCUAGGAGGGCACAGGAGGAGAACAAUGGCCACUGCGAAGGUGAUCUGCCCUGGAGGAGAGUAUUUGAGAAGUCCUACUGUAGGCUUUGCUUACAGAGCGUAGGCAGAUGGCUCC
Molecule: long non-coding RNA, 1262 nt
Filed under: Mus spicilegus (steppe mouse)
Lineage: Eukaryota; Metazoa; Chordata; Mammalia; Rodentia; Muridae
Description: lncRNA (ENSMSIG00000014107.1)
Source: RNAcentral